GUUCCAAAUGCAGUUUGGAUCUAUUGGAUGGUCAGUAGGAGCCACUCUUAAAUAUUCUGAUGCUGUCAAGGAAAGGCCUGCUAUUGCUCGAAUAGGUGCAGGAAGUUUCCAGCAGGGCAGCGGAGCAUUGUCUUCAUCAUUAAUAAUGGUGGAUACACCAUUAAAGUAGAGAUCCAUGAUGGGCCUUACAAUGUGAUUAAGAACCGGAACUAUACUGGAGUUGUUGGUGCCAUUAACAGCGGGGCAAGGUGAAGACUGAGGAGGAAUUCAAAGAGGCCAUAGCAAAAGCCACAGGAGAAGAAAAAUUGCUUGUGUUUCAUUCGGGUAAGUGUGCAUAAAGAUGAUCCAAGCAAGAAGCUAUUGGAGUGGGGAUCAAAGGUCUCAUCAGCCAACAGUAGAGAAACUUGUAUUCAAGGAUAGAGGAAUAGGAUGGCCAAUAUGUUGACAUCAACCGAUCCUAUGCUGAGGUAUACUUCAAAUAAAUAAUCUGUUCGUGUAGGAGCUUAGUGUAAGCAUCUAAACUGAAACAAUGCAUGCAGUAUACAAGUGCUAGUGUUACCAUUAAACAUGUGUUUGUCAGGAUUUCCUAUCACUUUCCUGUUGAAUGCAUAUUAGUAACCAUGAGGUCUGCUUGUAAACAGAGAAAGUUGGAUCAGUAAAUGAAACCAUUAUUAAACUGAGUUCCACUGAAACUUAUUAACAUGACAAAGGACAAUGUUACAAUCUGCCUCUACUUGAGGCUUCUCUUUUGAUUUUGUAAUUUAAGCAGGGGAUUGUUUUUCAGUAAUGAAGGCACCAUUUGAAUCAGGAAUUCCAUAUACAUCAUGUGAUCAAUGGCCAAUUCACCAAUCGAUUCUAGAGCAGAUAAUUCUUGCUAACUGGUUACCAGUUGCAUGCUUUGGUAGUCUUUGCACAAAUCUUGUUGCAGGUAUCGGUUCCGUCAAAGAAGUUUUGCGUACAGGAUCUGAUUCCAAGUAUCGGGAAGGCCAGCGAGACACCAGUGGCUGCAGUCCAUGCCAGGAUGAUCUCCACUGUAAGCAGACGGAUGUGCAUCUCUUCUGAGCUGAGAAAGCAAGGUUAUGUCGAGCAGGUAGACUGGUUUGGACAUGGCGCCGAGGACGCUCGUCACUACUCCUUGAGCUGGAACCGGACCACCUGGGUAAGUCGAUCCGUUUACCGGUUGCGUUUGUCCGUA
This is a non-coding RNA of Musa acuminata subsp. malaccensis (wild Malaysian banana), 1195 nucleotides long. NCBI's taxonomy places the organism in Eukaryota, Viridiplantae, Streptophyta, Magnoliopsida, Zingiberales, Musaceae. The record is from RefSeq and is a predicted model, not a curated record.